CGGGAGGAAGGUGGGGAUGACGUCAAGUCCUCAUGGCCUUUAUGCUUAGGGCUACACACGUGCUACAAUGGGUGGUACAAAGAGAAGCCAACUCGCGAGAGCGCGCCAAUCUCAAAAAGCCAUCCUCAGUUCGGAUUGGAGUCUGCAACUCGACUCCAUGAAGUUGGAAUCGCUAGUAAUCGCGGAUCAGCAUGCCGCGGUGAACUACGCUCCCGGGCCUU
Molecule: ribosomal RNA, 221 nt
Filed under: uncultured Smithella sp.
Lineage: Bacteria; Pseudomonadati; Thermodesulfobacteriota; Syntrophia; Syntrophales; Smithellaceae
Description: partial 16S ribosomal RNA
Rfam family: Bacterial small subunit ribosomal RNA
Source: RNAcentral